ACGGCUCAGUAACACGUGGAUAACCUGCCCAAGGGUCUGGGAUAACCCCAGGAAACUGGGGAUAAUACCGGAUGGAUCACUAGUGCUGGAAUGCUUGGUGGUCGAAAGGCAACGCCUUUGGAUGGGUCUGCGGCGGAUUAGGUUGACGCCGGUGUAACGUACCGGCGUGCCUGUAAUCCGUACGGGUUGUGGGAGCAAGAGCCCGGAGAUGGAUUCUGAGACACGAAUCCAGGCCCUACGGGGCGCAGCAGGCGCGAAAACUCUACAAUGCAGGCAACUGCGAUAGGGGGACAUCGAGUGGCAUCCACCUUGGGUGCCUGUCCAACCGUCUAAAAAACGGUUGUUAGCAAGGGCCGGGUAAGACCGGUGCCAGCCGCCGCGGUAAUACCGGCGGCUCGAGUGGUGGCCGAUAUUAUUGAGUCUAAAGGGUCCGUAGCCGGCUUUGCAAGUCCCCUGGGAAAUCCAGCGGCUUAACCGUUGGGCUUUCAUGGGAUACUACAUUGCUUGGGACUGGGAGAGGUAGGAGGUACUCGGGGGGUAGGGGUGAAAUCCUGUAAUCCUCCGGGGACCACCGGUGGCGAAGGCGUCCUACCAGAACAGGUCCGACGGUGAGGGACGAAAGCUAGGGGCACGAACCGGAUUAGAUACCCGGGUAGUCCUAGCCGUAAACGAUGCCCGCUAGGUGUCACGACGGUCGUGAAUCGUCGUGGUGCCGUAGGGAAGCCGCGAAGCGGGCCACUUGGGAAGUACGGCCGCAAGGCUGAAACUUAAAGGAAUUGGCGGGGGAGCAC
RNAcentral lists this ribosomal RNA (791 nucleotides) under uncultured archaeon. RNAcentral describes it as "bacterial SSU rRNA". It matches the Rfam family "Archaeal small subunit ribosomal RNA", at positions 85 to 879 of the family's 1478-position model. The record is from RNAcentral.